UUCUUUCUUUUGCUUUCUUUUUCUUUCUUUUUGGUUAUUAGAUAUGAGGUUUUAUAAAUCUACGGUGGAACAAUAGAUCUUCAACGGACGAUGGUGGCCAAUUCAGACGCCCUUGUGCCGCGGGCCGAUGUCCCUGACUCGCCUUGGCCGGGGAAGUGGCAAUUCCAUCACGGAAGGGUUGGCGACAUGUGUGCCUGCAAAUGUAUUUUCGUUGUUUUUAUUGCGGUGACUAGGGCUGGUUAUGAUGAAUUCAUGGUGUGUGUGCGUUUAGUCGUGUAUACGGCGAGGACGGCUCGACGGCGACUGGUGUACGUUUGCUAGCGGUGCUAGGGUUCUAAACUGCAAAAGUAAGAUUUUGAAAAUGAUUCUAGUUGUCUACGAGUGUCUAACGGCGCUGUGAAUCGAAGAAUCGGCUGUUAUUGAAAGUUUUUUUUUUAUGUUAGAAAAAAAAAACAUUUUUUUGGCUGAUUGCAUCGGAUUAUCUUUUAAGAGAUUUUGCUUUGUUUGACCGCUAGAGUUUGGCGGCAGCUGCGUUUGGCUGCUAGGGUUGGUGACGGCUGGAAGUUAUUGGCGGUUAGGGUUUGAUAGUACUUCAUAGUAAAACAUAGUAUACCAUAGUAUACCAUAGUACUAUACUAUAAUAUCAUGGUAUACUAUACUCUACUACAUAAAAUAUGUAUAUUGGAUUAAAAAAUGAAAAAAAAAAAUGCAUGCUUUUGUUUUUGUAAUAAUAUUAUGUGGAAAAAAAAG
Molecule: long non-coding RNA, 750 nt
Filed under: Erythranthe guttata (spotted monkey flower)
Lineage: Eukaryota; Viridiplantae; Streptophyta; Magnoliopsida; Lamiales; Phrymaceae
Description: long non-coding RNA (EGUT_LNC001888)
Source: RNAcentral